CCUUGGGUGUAGUUGCUUCACAGGGAAUCUAGCUUAUGGAGUUACUCUCGAAAGUCACAUUAUUUUUAGAGACUGGCCAGUCAUCACUUCAGAGUUUCGAUAACACAGAGAAUUCAAUGAAAGCUGAGAUAGCUUGGAUACUCCUUCUUUUGGUGCUUGUGAGAAUUCAAUUAACUCAAGCCCCUGCCCACAUGGGAAUCCUCACUCUAGGCCUGUACUCUAACAACAAUAUGAACCCAAGCCAGUAGUCUUUCUCUGUUCUCUCAAUCUUUGGACCUACUUGUGUGUCACCCUGCUCUUUCCAGAAAGCUGCAUGAUUACAGGGACUCUGCCAAUGCAUGUCUUCAUUGUCAGCUGACCAUCACUUCAGUUCUUCCAAAAGCAAUACCCAGGGGUAUAUUGGCAUUCCGGAAGAGGAAUAAACCACAGGUUUCUUUAUGUUUCCCUGCUUGAUCGUGUCAACACCACUUCUGCAAAGACUCUAUCAGUGGAUUCCAGCUAAAACUGAUUCCACAUUACUAUAACCAGCGCCAUGAAAUCUUCUCAGAGGAAUCAACAUCAACUGAUGGCUGCCCCAGUCCCAAAGUUUGAAUCCCAGCUGCUAAAAGAUCAAGUCCUGCAGUGUUGUAGAAGCCCUCCAUCAGACAAGCAGAGUAACACAGGAGCUUGAGGUGGUAUGCUGGGAGUGUGUAUGAAAAAUGUCUUCUGCAGCUUCAGCUGGACCACAAAAAUAUAGGACAGGUCAUCCACAUUGACUUUUUCAGUCCACCCAUUGCCUCAUUUAAGUCUGCCUAAGCCCUACGCUGUCUCAUUUGUUAUGGAUGCUUUAUGGUAAUGGUUAAACAUAAUAUAAAAAAAUGAUGUAACACCAGAAGUAAAGUAGAACGAGCUAUAUUCCCUGAUGUAGCUAUUACUCUCAAGGCUGUAGCUAAUAUGAACCUUCUUUCUCUAGUAACCUUCAUGCUGGGUUAGCACUUCGGCUGGUUAGUUUCCUCGUUCAGGAGAGAGUGCAGACAUGGAUCUCCGAAGGUUCUAACCACCUGCUUACUUAACCUUUGUCAGGCCAUGGUCACUGCAACUGCCAGCUGACUGUUGUCACCAAGUUCAGAUUUAUUCUUCCCUGUCUCAUAAUGUAGCAAUAUCUCUAGCACCUCAUUUUAUUCCAGGCAGUUCACUCGUUAGUUAGAGUCAUGCCUUUCCUUUCCUACUGAUCCAUCUGCAUUCAGAGCCCAAAACGAACUGAUAAUACUCAUAGUAUUUGUUCAUGGAAGUAUUUGGUUCCUCUACCUCAUAGAGAAACCAGGAUCAUUAAUCCCUCACAGACUAAAAAGGAUGGGAAAUACAAAGUUUUCAAUUGGUCACUGAAAGUGAUGGUAAUAGAAGGCAAUCCUAUGAUCACGCCUUGAUUUCUGGAUAUAAGCCUUCUACCUAUUGACCUCUCAGCAAGAUAUAAUCACCAUUGGUUCAACAUCUAUACCAUAUCAUGUCUAACAUACUACUCUAAUAGCACAUGUUUUAUACCCUAUCUAGUGAUUUAGCUGAACUUUUAAGAGAACCUCCCAGAGCUCUACUGGACACGCACAGUGCUACUUUGGCAGUGCGUUAUCAUCCGGUUCUGAGUCUCUGUUCCUCAGGGGCUUUCAUCUAACUUUCAAAAUUUAAUAGUCCUAACUUUAUCCAUUUGUUCCUGGUAGCAGUUUCCUGCAAAUACUGUUUCUCUGAUAUUUUAGCGCCCACCACUUUUUAUUCCCCCUUUCAAUCCUCCAUUACAUGUUUAAAUAAUCCUUUUCUGGAUUUUGUCAAAAUAACUGGUGCACUUUCUGUCUUUCUGACUGGUGCUGGAGGGAGGGGAAGAGGCUGAAGAAAAAGAAAAUUUGUCAGAAUAAUUGGAAGUAUAUCAGGGCAGUAGGUUAAAUUGAAAUCCAAUUAGCCAAGAAUUUUCCUGAAGUCCAUGAAAAUAUGGUACCUUGCUGGAUGUUGUCAUUAGAAGAUAGGUAUUAGCAGAAGGAACAGAGAAAAAAAACAAUAUAGAAAUUCAACUCUUGAAAAGGUCAUUUUUCGGUGGACCAAAGGAACAAUGGAGAAAUAGCUUGGGAACUCAAAAGGACUCUGCUAGAUGAUGUGGUCCAGAAUAGACUUUAUGGGAAGUACAAAUAAACCGUCUUUAAUGGGAGUUAUACCAACCAGAUGCAUUUGUAACUGGGUGACAGAAUUAUUGGUGGCCCCAAUGAUCAGGAGUCGCUACUGUAAGUUAAUGACAAAAGACCAGGAAUACUACAUGUCCUGUAAUACAGGGGAUUGUCCAGGACAAGAAAAAUCUGUCUCUCUCCAAAGGCCAUUAGCAAUCCUAAUGAGAAACACUAUCUCAGAUACUAUUUUUAGUAUUUUUCCUAUUGACAUAUUUUUUAAAUCACUUUCUUGCAUUUUAUCUUAUACGCCAUAUGGCUCAGGUAAUACUUUAGUAAAUGAAACAUUUAACUAAUGAGUCUAAAAAUAUCAGCUGAAUAAAUCAUAAGCAUCAAACUCAUGAAUUGUGUAAUAUAUAACUUUCAAAUUGUACAAGUACUUUCUAUUAAUCUUAUUCAAUUUGGAAAGGCACAGAUAUUCUCAAGAUUUCAAAAUUAUUUAUGUCAAAACAGUACUAAAUAUAUGCAGAUUUUCUCAGUGGAAUCAAGCAGUUUUGUAAAUGUUUUGCUUUUGAAAUAGUGUAAGAUUUUGAGUUCAUUUCUUCACAAAUUUCCCACUUAUCAUUCUUUCCUUCAUAAAUAUUUAGAUGAAGUAGUCAGAAUAUAAACCUCUUAGUACAAAGAAGAACUGAAAGACAAAAAUGUAGAUUAUCUAUGGCAGGAAAGAAAAUGGUGCUGAAGCCAAGCUACUACCUGGUAAUGCCAGAAUUAAAAUAUCCUAUGGUUUGUAUCUGAUCCAGUUGUGAAUGUGAGGACUUUGCAUACAGAUUUGAAAUAAGUAAAUAGCACAGGAGCAGAAAAUUCAGAGCAAACAAUAUCUAAUUUUAAAAUACGUGCCUAUAUUAAAUGCAAUCUUGUGUAUAGGAGAAAAAUCUCUCAUCCCAAACUUUGUAGAACUAAACUGUUUGCCUGAUGUAAUUUAUAGCUUCCUCUGAAGAGUAGAAAGCAUUUCUAUUAAAAUGCUCAAGUGUUUUUUUUUUUUUUUAUGAUUUUAAAGAGAUUAAGAAUUCAUUCUAGGAAAUAAGAAUUACCUACCUAGCUGACAGAUCAUCCAUCCUUAUUAUCUUUAAGGAGCUAUUUCUCUUUCACAUUUGUUGUUUGUGUGUAUUGUUUUUGUAUAUAAAUGCCUCUAUGAAUAGUAAAAACCUUUGAAAUGGC
Long non-coding RNA from Pteropus alecto (black flying fox), 3344 nucleotides. RefSeq lists it as uncharacterized. The record is from RefSeq and is a predicted model, not a curated record. NCBI's taxonomy places the organism in Eukaryota, Metazoa, Chordata, Mammalia, Chiroptera, Pteropodidae. The transcript is spliced from 3 exons.